AUGCCCGAAACUGAUAAGAAUUCUUUACUAAGUACUAGUGCCGCAGGAGAGAUUCUAACCCCUGCUGCCCAAGUGCUUAUCGAAGAGUUCCGCUCUGUCAACUGAA
Molecule: microRNA precursor, 106 nt
Filed under: Anopheles christyi
Lineage: Eukaryota; Metazoa; Arthropoda; Insecta; Diptera; Culicidae
Also listed under: 1 other name
Description: microRNA mir-252
Rfam family: mir-252 microRNA precursor family (bases 20-88)
Source: RNAcentral